RNAcentral lists this ribosomal RNA (413 nucleotides) under uncultured bacterium. RNAcentral's name for it is "bacterial SSU rRNA". It matches the Rfam family "Bacterial small subunit ribosomal RNA", at positions 30 to 445 of the family's 1533-position model. The record is from RNAcentral.
AUUGAACGCUGGCGGCAUGCCUUACACAUGCAAGUCGAACGGCAGCGGACCUUCGGGUGCCGGCGAGUGGCGAACGGGUGAGUAAUAUAUCGGAACGUACCUUUCAGUGGGGGAUAACGUAGCGAAAGUUACGCUAAUACCGCAUAUUCUGUGAGCAGGAAAGCAGGGGAUCGCAAGACCUUGCGCUGAUUGAGCGGCCGAUAUCAGAUUAGCUAGUUGGUGAGGUAAAGGCUCACCAAGGCGACGAUCUGUAGCGGGUCUGAGAGGAUGAUCCGCCACACUGGAACUGAGACACGGUCCAGACUCCUACGGGAGGCAGCAGUGGGGAAUUUUGGACAAUGGGCGCAAGCCUGAUCCAGCCAUGCCGCGUGAGUGAAGAAGGCCUCGGUUGUAAGUACGUCUUUCGGUCCGGG